This 1929-nucleotide long non-coding RNA is filed under the name Lepeophtheirus salmonis (salmon louse). RNAcentral describes it as "uncharacterized LOC121132573". The record is from RNAcentral. Lineage: Eukaryota; Metazoa; Arthropoda; Copepoda; Siphonostomatoida; Caligidae.
UUGAUUUGUGUUAGUUAUUGUUGAAUCUCAAAUUUUGGAGGAUUCAGGGUAUCUGAUAACCGAGUACAAACUUCACCCAAAUUUAUUGAAUCGAUUCGUUCAUUCUCAACUCCAAUUUGAUUACAGACAUUCAUUCAUGGUUCGGAUUAGUUAACCAAGUGACCCAUUAUGGACGUGUGAAAAAUAUAUUAGAACCAUUCGAACUAUUACUAAGUCCAAAAAGAGUAUUUUUCAUGGAUUUAUAUUCUUAAUUAUGUUUUAUUGAGUGCAUAGGAGCUGAUAAUCAAGAAAAUAUAACAUGGAGUUCGGAUUUUUAAACCGAGGAAAGCUACGUGUCUAUGAACAGACUCGUCCAAUAGAGGACUGGGAUACAUUGUAAGUGUAGUUUCUCAAUACCAGAAUGUGGCUCUGAUAGAUGGAAGAUCACACAUGUGGACCGAGAUUCCUAUCUGAGACUAAAAAACGAUAUGCAUCGGUAGAUGGAGAAAUAUUGGAGCAGCAUGGCUUUCGAACAAACAAUGUAUUUUAUUCAAGGAUAUGCCAAAUUGGUUGUUGUAAUGUACCAUAGCCGGCUCGUUAAGCUAUUAGGACAUCAUAACCUAGGUGCAAUUCCAAAUAUCCGUGUGUUUAGACUUAAACAGCGAAUGCCAAUGUGGACACUCGAUAUUUUCCAUAUGGUUACUAUUAAAAAUUUAGUUGCUGAAACAAUGUCAAGAAAUUCAAAAAAAAUGAGAUAUUACUGUGGAAGAAGAUGAUAUUUUGAAGGUGUUGAUAGGUAUAAACCUGAGCUGGGAAGAAUCACCUGGAAAAAAAUUGCAGAUGUAAAGAGACAGAAUAUCGUUUCUCCAACACUGUUGCACAUGAUGAAGGAUGGAGUUCUAAAAGAGACUAGCCCAAGGAGAUGGAGGAAUACAAAUCUAUUUAAAAGUCUUUGUAUCAAAUAUGUGGUGUGAUUAUAUACUAGGACAAAGUGAUAGUACGCAAGGAAUUGUCCCAGAUAUAGUACACAGGUCAUCAGGACACCUCAGCAAUGAUAUCUCAUGCGCCAUCAUGCAUGUUUUGUGAGGAAUUACAACAUGAUACGUUCGACUUAUAUAUACGACUUAUGUAAGUCAUAUAAUUAUAUUGCUCCUUCACAACCUAGAUGAUGUCCACCUAUAUUGUAGAAUGUCCUAGGAACACCAUUUGAAGCGAUUGUUGCCAAAUUUUAUGAGGUUACUUGUACUUCGUGGUUGCAGAAAGAGUGUUGGAAUGGACGGAUGUAUCCUUUUCAUCUGACUAUCAAGGAGUAAAGGGAUUGUUGGGAAACUUAAGGAGAUUCUUCGCCAAUUUGGAACUUCCUGAAGAAAUCUUAAGCAACAAUGGGACGGAAUUUGUAUCCUAUGAAACGGCAGAAGUUUUAAAAAAAUGGGGGUUCACCUAAUGCCUAUCCUAUGCUUAUUUUCAGCAGUCUGAUGGAAGAGCUGUGUGGCAAUUAACAAAAUCUAGAGAAUGCUGCAAGGCAACAUUGGUCAGAAUGGAACGUUGAACAUUGAUGAAUUUGUUAAGGCUAUAUUAACUGUGACAAAUACACAAGACACAAACAAAAAUAAGAAUGUUACACAUACACAAUAAUAUCUUACCUCGAUUAGAUAUAAAAGAGCAAAAAAAAAAUUAUACAGUUGACCCCAAAUGGCCAGAAGCGUAGGACGUAAAGGAAAAAGUGGUAAGAGCGAGUGCAAUAAGGAUGUAUGAAAGCUUAGUGGUAGGAUCUUAGAGAAUGGAACACUUGAGAAUAGAUGAACGUGUGAUCAUCCAGGACCAGUAUGGAACUCGACCAAAUAGAUGGGAUAGUUAGGGUGAAGUAGUGGAUGUUGGAAGAUAUUCGUUUCUGAAGAAACUGGUCUAUCCGUUAAGGGAUUCUGGGGAUGAUCGAACAAACAAUUAUAC